AAUCAACGCUGGCGGCGUGCCUAACACAUGCAAGUCGAACGCGAAAGUUCCUUCGGGGAUGAGUAGAGUGGCGUCCGGGUGAGUAACGCGUGGGUAAUCUACCCUUGGGUGGGGAAUAACCAGUCGAAAGGCUGGCUAAUACCGCAUAAUGCAGCGGCUCGACAUCGAGACAGUUGUUAAAGCGCAAUCGCAAGGUUGCGCGCCUAAGGAGGAGCCUGCGUCUGAUAGCUUGUUGGUGAGGUAAUGGCUCACCAAGGCUGCGAUCAGUAGCUGGUCUGAGAGGACGGCCAGCCACAAUGGCACUGAAACACGGGCCAUACUCCUACGGGAGGCAGC
This 336-nucleotide ribosomal RNA is filed under the name uncultured bacterium. Its description in RNAcentral is "bacterial SSU rRNA". It matches the Rfam family "Bacterial small subunit ribosomal RNA", at positions 32 to 352 of the family's 1533-position model. The record is from RNAcentral.